UGGGGUGAUGGGAUCUGGGUUUUUUUUUUUUUUUUAAUUUUUAAUAUUUAGUUAAUAUUUAAUUAAUUUUUUAAUUUUUUUAAUUUUUUUAAUAGAAAGUGGGCCUACCUCAUGCCACGUUAGCGUUUAACAGAGGAAUUGAUAGACAAUUGACGAAAGGUAUGACAUUGCAACAAAUUCGAAGAUAAGGUAUGACAUUGAAACUUUUUAAAAACGAGGUAUGAAACUGUUAAUGACCUAAUAGUUGAAGUAGUUUUAUGUAAUUUAUCCAAAAUAAUAUUACAAUUCUCAAAUAAAGCAUGAUUUAUGCAUAUGUGAUUAAACUAAUGCUAUUUUACGUGUUGAUGGGCGCCUAAUCAAUUUUAGAGUGAGCUCAAUGCUUAACCACCACCACGGCGGUUCUUAAUUGCUUGAUGUGGAAGUUGUUUGGCAGGGGAUCAUACCCUCUUGAUAUACAGUUGACAUAUACAAGGGAGCUCGAUGCUUAACCACCACCACGACGGCUCUUAAUUGCUUGAUGUGGAAGUUGUUUGACGGGGGAUCGUACGCUCUUGAUAUACAAUUGACGUAUACAGUUCAGAAUUCAUAAAUAUCAAAUCAAUCAAUGUUGCGCGUCUCACUUAAUUAUAAGCUCUACUUUAAGGACACACGAAUUACGGGGCAUGCAGGGCAUCUGCUUGUAAAUUUCGUGGUGUGGCUCUGCAUGUGAAUGUGAUGCAGUUGGAAGUUGACUUAUAACUAAAUGAGGAUCGUUAGAUUAUUAAUGUAUUAUAAUGGUCGAGAUGAAGCGAAAUGUGGAAAAAUGCUUAAGUUAUGUUAUCGAAAUUAGACGUUGGGGAGCUAUGAUGGAGAAGCAAACUCUUUUUAUCUUUCUUGUUUUUUGAAGGGUGAUUUUAUUCUAACCCAAUGAAGAGCUUUGGGAUCAAAUUCUA
Molecule: long non-coding RNA, 932 nt
Organism: Pyrus x bretschneideri (Chinese white pear)
Lineage: Eukaryota; Viridiplantae; Streptophyta; Magnoliopsida; Rosales; Rosaceae
Exons: 2
Source: RefSeq, a predicted model, not a curated record